UGCACCGUCGCCAUUUCCGGAGAGGGAAACGAUUCGUGGGUGGGGAACCGACUUGAUGCCGUGUGCUGAAACCCAUACAAAUAUCACUUGAUUAUCUGGAUUCAUCAGCUCUACAUCGUGCUUCCUCUAAGAUGUGAAUUGCAAUGUAGGAGGACCCCAUGCUUUUUGAUGCUAUGAAUGUACCCGGCACGUUGGUGGCUGCUGAAUGGAAAUUGUCUGGGAAGGGGCGGAGGCCAAUCAAAUAACAAAAGUUUUGGGCUUGUUCGUGUUGGGUCAUGAGGUUGCCAGGCUUUUCCUGUGGUUGCUGCCUGGAGAACUUGCAUGGAGGCUUUGUGCGGUGAAGUCGUGCUCAAUGUUAGCAACUUCCAUGCUUUUGGUUCCACUCUGGGGAUGCAUCAGUUUCGCUCUUGGGCUUGUCGGCGCCAGUUUUUCGUCGGCAGUUCGUGACGAUGUCUCAAACGGGGUUGGGGCAGUCUUUGGUGGCUGUUGAAGUGGAUUUCGUACCUUUAGGUGCUGAGUUUGGCGCAUGUGCGUUGGGACAUUGUAUUAGUAAUACGUCAUGCGGAUAAUCCAGUGUCCUUGUUCGACCCUUGGGUCUGCUGUGGAGAUUUUCUAUUGGUGUUGCCUUACGUGUUUGGUGUCGAUCUUUGAUGCUCCCAUCGAGUAGUUCGCUUUCGCGCUCAGGUUUUUGGGUGUCGGAUUUCGCGUCCGAUUGGUCUUCCAGCGUGUUUGUAAAACGUCGUUCGCUUUAUUCUGAGCCGGUUGCCGUUGUUCGUGUUAUCUUGAGUUCGCUGUGUCAGUUUUCCAUUGACAUAACCAUAAGGCUGCAUCAUGCUUGGAUUUAAAUCGGUCGCUCAUCCUGUUCUGAAGCUGGAAUAUUGGGUGGUUUUCCCGUUCCAAGGACCUGUUUGGCUAGUUGUCGGCAACUGUUUGUGACAUCGAUACGUUCUGGUCGCUUGAUUCAUCGCUUAACCUUCUGUACAGCGUGUGGCGUUCUGGGUAUGCGUGCUUGGCUGUUGGUGAAUUCAAAGAUUAAGCAGGUUAAUUUGGUACGAGUGUAGCAGUGAUGUCUGAUUUACGGGUUGGCGUUGGUUCUGUUCGGCAAUUCAUCGAAUACGUUGUAUGUUAUUGAAUAACUCUACGUUGUAUGCUUUUUUCUGGUUUUUGUUUCAAUAAAACUUACGAUAUAUUCGA
This 1194-nucleotide long non-coding RNA is filed under the name Daphnia magna. Its description in RNAcentral is "uncharacterized LOC116920390, transcript variant X1". The record is from RNAcentral. Lineage: Eukaryota; Metazoa; Arthropoda; Branchiopoda; Diplostraca; Daphniidae.